This 485-nucleotide ribosomal RNA is filed under the name uncultured bacterium. RNAcentral describes it as "partial 16S ribosomal RNA". It matches the Rfam family "Bacterial small subunit ribosomal RNA", at positions 30 to 507 of the family's 1533-position model. The record is from RNAcentral.
AUUGAACGCUGGCGGCAUGCCUUACACAUGCAAGUCGAACGGCAGCACGGGUGCUUGCACCUGGUGGCGAGUGGCGAACGGGUGAGUAAUACAUCGGAACAUGUCCUGUAGUGGGGGUAGCCCGGCCAAAGCCGGAUUAAUACCGCAUACGAUCUACGGAUGAAAGCGGGGGGCCUUCGGGCCUCGCGCUAUAGGGUUGGCCGAUGGCUGAUUAGCUAGUUGGUGGGGUAAAGGCCUACCAAGGCGACGAUCAGUAGCUGGUCUGAGAGGACGACCAGCCACACUGGGACUGAGACACGGCCCAGACUCCUACGGGAGGCAGCAGUGGGGAAUUUUGGACAAUGGGCGAAAGCCUGAUCCAGCAAUGCCGCGUGUGUGAAGAAGGCCUUCGGGUUGUAAAGCACUUUUGUCCGGAAAGAAAUCCUUGGCCCUAAUACGGUCGGGGGAUGACGGUACCGGAAGAAUAAGCACCGGCUAACUACGUG